CAAUUGCGAAGAUUUUUUUAAAUGUGAAAAAAUUUGCAUGGUAAUAAUCUUCUUCUUUUCUUUUUAAUUACUAUUUUUAAUAUCUAUUAAAUUGUUCAGAAUAUGAUGAAAGAAGCAAGAAUAAAAAGAUGGAAAGAGGAAGAGAGAAAUGUAUUAAAAAAUUUUAUCGUCAAAAAAAUUGUAUUUAUAUAUGUAAGUAUAAUCUAAUCUAAUCUAUCCGGAUUUUUCGCAGACGAUGCGUGCAAUUGUAACGGUGCAACAGCACAAAUAUAUAUUAUCAUUUCUUGUUUGUUAUCAUUAUAUUCAUCUACUUGUGUGUUUUUAUUAAUUUAAAGGAACGUUUAACCAGUUUUCCAAACAACAGUAACAACAAAGAGAAGAAUAGACAAAAUAUUAGUUCAAACAAAUUGAUUCGAUAUUUUCUUUUUUUAAAUUUUUACCUUUGCUUCAUGAUUCUCGAAUUUCUAAGGAGAGAGCGAUAAUAAUGAUAUUGAUAAAGACAAAAAGAAAUAAUUGAUCACGAUGAAGGAAUAAUAAUGGAUAUUUAAAUGUGAUCACGACGAAUGUUGUAUUAACACUGGAACAAAUGCAACUCGAGAAAAUAUAGAUGAAAUACACGUAGUUUCUGGUAAAUGCGUUUCAUGACCUCGUUCUUAUCGGUACGAGGAGUCAAUCGAUGACCGCCCGCAAAUCACGGGUCAACGACUCGGUCAACAACGAGCUCCCUCACAAUAACUCUAUAAAUCUCGGGACACUUUCUGCGAAUCGGAAGUCAUAAUGCUGUCGUUUCCACUUCUGAUGCUCGAUGGAACGUUGCAUAUAGAGUUGUUUGCCAGUUUUCUUUCGCUACUUCGGAAAUGAUCUCAUUUGCACGAUAUCCAACUUCAAAAAAAAUAGCUGAAAUACAAAAAAUUUCAAAUUUCAAAAAUAAAAUCAUCGAACUGCAGACUCAUAAAACUUUCAACGUGAAUGAAAAAAUCGAGUCUGUUCGCAGCCAAGACUACGUACAAAUGAUAUAAAUAUACCGGGACAAGUUGUUAAAGUCACUAUUCGACAUCUUGACUCGUUGCUUGAUUAACGAGAUAUCUAUUUUCAAAGGCUAUAAUUUAUAAUGAUAUUUUUUUCCACUAUUAACUACGUUUUGUGAAUUUAAAAUUAAUAGUUGAAAAAAAAAACAUUCACAAAUAAUAUAAUCGAAUCUUCUUGGACAAUUGAUUGCAACAAUGAACGAAUGUUGGAUUGUAUCUACUAUAUCUAAAAUUAUGAAGGUUGUAUUUCCAUAAUCAUAUCUUAUAGAAUAUUUUAUUAUUUUUAUUUAUCUUUUUUUAUGUUUUUCGAAAGAAAAAUUAUCUAAACAAUAUUCAGCAAUAUAUGUUGCUUACUUAUAUUAUUUUGUUAUAUUUUUUUUCAGAAAAAAUUUUUUUUUCAAAAAAUUAUUCCUAAUCAUUUAUUUAAUUUUAUAUAUCAAGUAUAUAGAAGAGCUGAAUCAUUAAACUCGAAUGUAUAUGUAGGUUAUCACGAUAUUUGACCUGGUUCUGAUAGUUUUAUAAAAGAAAUUUUUCCAAAGAAAUUAAAAAAGCAUUGUACAUUUGCUUUUUCGUAUUCUUAACAUAUAUAUAUAUAUAUAUAUGGAAGAAUUAAUGCAAAACGUUUAGUCAACAGUUUCGAUCACGAUCGAUCAUUUCUUCAUCCUAAAGGGGAAUCGAUGUGAGUCAUUGUCUCGGUCGUGACCUUUUGCUCGAUGACUAAUUUCUCGGCUGAUUUUAUGUUAAAUCACCGCAGAUAUGUGAGAACAACCGACUCUCGCGAGCUACGAACAAUCGCGUUGUGAAGGCGGUUUUCAUUGUUCUGUCUAGUCAUGCAUGAUGCGGUCAUAUUCAAAAUUAUAGAGAGGUAUCAAAGGUGUAAAUCAUUUCUUCUCUAUCUCUAAAAAUAUCUACUUUCUUUUAAAGAUUUGAUCGAUUAAACAUCCUUUAAAUUUUUCAAUUAACUCUUAAGGAAUUUCCAUAGAAACGCGAAUGUACAAGACUUACUAAUGUUUGAAUUAACUUUCUACUGGUAGAGAUGACUAGAUGAAUCGACAUGCGGUCGCUGUCUCGUUACGCAAACACCGACAUGGUGAUAAAAAAAAAAAUAAUGCAACACCACCUGCGGGUAGCUAAAUGUAUGCUGCAACUGUCGGCUCUUUCUCCCUAAUGUGUUGCUUCAUUCUGUUUGCACACGAGUUGCGAAACUUCUAAAUUUAUCAAUUGAAAGUAAAAAAUAUUUUAAUUAACUAUUUCAAAUUUUUUAAUCUUAUUAUGGUACUAUCGAUCCAUAAUAUGCAUUUAAGUUAUAAAUCAAUAUUUAAUAUCAUAAUCAUAUUAGAUAAGGAUCAAUAUUUUUAAUAAAAAAAAUCAAUGAGUUUGAUUUCUUUUGUAAUUCUAAUAUUAAUUCCAGGCGUCGAAUCAAUAAUUAUUCUAUAGUCUUGCAAAUCCAAUAAUUAUUCUACAAGUAGAGAAUUAAAAGCGAAAGCGAGCCUCACACUCGAGGCAAUUGUUAAUUCGAAUUACAAAACUCUCAUGAAAUCUAUUCCUCUGAACCUUCUGAAACAAUCUUUUCUUGUUUUUCCCUAAUUAAAAGUUAAAAGACGUUCGUGCCCUUCUUUCAUGGUCUAGUUUCGACUUCAAUGUGCGUUUCGCUGACGCAGAAGGAUUAAAAAGUAAAAACCUGGUCUCGAGCCGAUGGUUGGAGGCAAUUUUCCGCUGUCUUCGAUACGCGAUCCAAUCGGUCACAGCUUCUUCACGUGAUGCCGCGUAAACAGGCAGUUUACUGUUGCGUUUUUCAUCGCGAGAAAUGGGGUCGCGUUCGUUCACCGAGGGAACAACGUCAUCUCAUGAGUCAAAGGAAAAAGGGCCUUCGAGGUGUUCGUCCGUGUUCACCUUCGCGCCGAUUCCAUUGUGAAAAGUUAUACGCCGUUUUAACGAGGCCGGCUAGCAUGUUCUGAUGCAUCCACCAAAAAUAUUCAUCCAACUGAAUAAAACAGAAUUUCAUUUCAUCUUCCUGAUGAUUACUAUGGAAUCGAGUCUCAGUGAGAAUAUUGUAACAAGAUUGAAUUUAUCUGAUAUAUAUUGUUUCUCAUCUUUUCUUAAAUAAUGAUUUCAUUUUAUAAUUUAGCUAAAUAACAAAUGGAUAUUUGGAAUUUGAUAUAUAUAUAGA
This is a long non-coding RNA of Apis laboriosa (Himalayan honeybee), 3198 nucleotides long. RefSeq lists it as uncharacterized. The record is from RefSeq and is a predicted model, not a curated record. NCBI's taxonomy places the organism in Eukaryota, Metazoa, Arthropoda, Insecta, Hymenoptera, Apidae. The transcript has 3 exons.